UGGGGAAUUUUGGACAAUGGGCGAAAGCCUGAUCCAGCAAUACCGCGUGCAGGAAGAAGGCCUUCGGGUUGUAAACUGCUUUUGUACGGAACGAAACGGUCUGGAUUAAUACUCUGGGCUAAUGACGGUACCGUAAGAAUAAGCACCGGCUAACUAC
This 157-nucleotide ribosomal RNA is filed under the name uncultured beta proteobacterium. RNAcentral's name for it is "partial 16S ribosomal RNA". It matches the Rfam family "Bacterial small subunit ribosomal RNA", at positions 355 to 504 of the family's 1533-position model. The record is from RNAcentral. Lineage: Bacteria; Pseudomonadati; Pseudomonadota; Betaproteobacteria.